This 333-nucleotide long non-coding RNA is filed under the name Brassica napus (rape). Its description in RNAcentral is "long non-coding RNA (BNAP_LNC006431)". Lineage: Eukaryota; Viridiplantae; Streptophyta; Magnoliopsida; Brassicales; Brassicaceae. The record is from RNAcentral.
AUAACAUAUGCAAAAAUACGGAGGAGAUCGAAAAGAUAUUAUGAAUUUCACUUUCUUAUUCGUUUAACGAAGAUUAUUGGGAAAGCAUCGUCCAUCCAGAUUGUUUAGCGAUUCACAAUCCUAUUUUUAUAGAGUAAGUAACUAGUUGAUGAAUAUAGCUGGUUCUCCGUAGCAAUCAAUUAUAAUUCAGUUGCUAAUUGAAUAUUUUUCUACAGAAUUUUGUACAGGUCCUAUGUAUACAAUUGCUAGCUAAAUACGCUAAAAAUAUUUUGUCCUCAAGUAUAUGAUCCAAAUCAAUUGUGUCGGCCGACAAACUAAAAACGCUCGUUAGCU